RNAcentral lists this ribosomal RNA (720 nucleotides) under uncultured organism. RNAcentral's name for it is "bacterial SSU rRNA". It matches the Rfam family "Bacterial small subunit ribosomal RNA", at positions 94 to 833 of the family's 1533-position model. The record is from RNAcentral.
AGUGGCAAACGGCUGAGUAACGCGUAGGAACCUACCCCAAACUCGAGUAUAGCCCCGCGAAAGCGGGGGUAAUCCUCGAUAGCCCGCGAAGUAUUUUACUUCACGGUAAAGCUUUUGCGGUUUGGGAUGGGCCUGCGUCCUAUCAGGUAGUUGGUGAGGUAAAUGCUCACCAAGCCUAUGACGGGUAGCUGGUCUGAGAGGAUGGUCAGCCAGACUGGGACUGCGACACGGCCCAGACUCCUACGGGAGGCAGCAACUAGGAAUUGUGCGCAAUGGACGAAAGUCUGACGCCGCGACAUCGCGUGGAGGAUGAAGGUCUUCGGAUUGUAAACUCCUUUUCUUACCGAACAAGUUCUGAGUGUAGGUAAGGAAUAAGUGCCUGCUAACCACGUGCCAGAAGCAUCGGUAAUACGUGGGGCACGAGCGUUAUCCGGAUUUACUGGGCGUAAAGAGAAGCGUAGGCGGCUCAAUAAGUUUGGUGUUAAAUCUUCCGGCUCAACCGGAAACAAGCACCGAAAACUAUCGAGAUUGAGUCGAGUAGGGAAGAGGGGAAUUCCUGGUGGAGCGGUUAAAUGCGUAGAUAUCAGGAGGAAUACCAAGGGCGAAGGCACCUCUUUGGACUCGUACUGACGCUGAGGCUCGAAAGCGUGGGUAGCAAAACGGAUUAGAUACCCGUGUAGUCCACGCCGUAAACGAUCCCUGUUAGAUGUAUGUUUUGUC